Uranotaenia lowii is the source of this 1570-nucleotide RNA transcript. RefSeq lists it as uncharacterized. NCBI's taxonomy places the organism in Eukaryota, Metazoa, Arthropoda, Insecta, Diptera, Culicidae. The transcript has 4 exons. The record is from RefSeq and is a predicted model, not a curated record.
UUUCGGCGCUAUGUUUGUUUCUCAUCGGUUCGGUUCGGUCGACAGGUGCUUGCGUGCGCGGCGAGUGAAAUCCAGGCAAGGAAGUUAUCAUCGAGCUGCUGCAGGAGUGUUUGCCGCAGCAAAGCACCCCCAAUCCGGAACAUUAUCUGCUUGGGUUUGAAAUUAGCAAAGAACUGCGACUCAUCAAUUUGCAGCAAAAGGGGGGUGUUCAAUUUCCCGACCAGCUGCGCCUUAUUUUGCCGUUGGAUCAAGACUUGGAGGCCAACCCAAUUCCUCAGCCCAAGAGCGACUGAUCGUGCAUGGCUAUUCUCGUUGAAAUAUGGUCUGCUACAAUUCUCGCUUCCGGAGGUGAGCUGCGUUUCUUUCGGUCCUGUAACGAUUUCCUGUGUCGGCACGUUAAUGAGCCUUCGUUUGCGAUCAAUGCGCGGACCAUCAACAGUCUCCAUGUACCGAAUAAGAUGACUGGUCUGUUGAUGAUGAUAUGUGGACUCCUUUCAAGCAUCUGUACAACAGCAUCGAUUUCUUGGUCCGGCCUUAAGUUCGGGAACGGAAAAGAGUUGUGCCAAUCUGGAUGCGUUGCUGCGGAAGCAGAAUUUUACGACCAUGUUGAAGAACCCUCCAAAGAAUGGGCCUCAUUUUGCCUUUGGAUCAAGACUUGGAGGCCAACCCAAUUUCUCAGCCCAAGAGCGACUGAUCGUGCACGGCUAUUCUCGUUGAAAUAUGGUCUGCUACAAUUCUCGCUUCCGGAGGUGAUUCUACGUUUCCUUCGGUCCUGUAACGAUUUCCUGCGUCGGCACGUUAAUGAGCCUUCGUUUGCGAUCAAUGCGCGGACCAUCAACAGUCUCCAUGUACCGAAUAAGAUGACCGGUCUGUUGCGCUGUGUUGAUGAUGAUAUGUGGACUCCUUUCAAGCAUCUGUUCAACAGCAUCGAUUUCUUGGUCCGGCCAUCAAGUUCGGGAACGGAACAGAGUGGUGCCAAUCUGGAUGCGUUGCUGCGGAAGUAGAAUUUUACGACCAUGUUGAAGAACCCUCCAAAGAAUGGGCCUUAUUUUGCCUUUGGAUCAAGACUUGGAGGCCAACCCAAUUUCUCAGCCCAAGAGCGACUGAUCGUGCACGGCUAUUCUCGUUGAAAUAUGGUCUGCUACAAUUCUCGCUUACGGAGGUGAUUCUACGUUUCCUUCGGUCCUGUAACGAUUACCUGUGUCGGCACGUUAAUGAGCCUUCGUUUGCGAUCAAUGCGCUGACCAUCAACAGUCUCCAUGUACUGAAUAAAAUGAGCGGUCUGUUGCGGUGUGUUGAGGAUGAUAUUGCCUUCUUACAGAUUCAGCUAUCGGUUAAUUGACCCCAUUUCAACUGGUACUUAUCAAGUCAGCCUAACAAGCUACGACAAUGACUGUAUUGAUGUGUGUAGGUUUUUUGUAUCUAUUCUCAAUGUUUAGCGAAACUGGCCAGCACAAUUUAAAUAGUUUUAGUCUGUAAAGCAUAGCUUUUCUUCCUUCCCAAACUAUAAAAGAACGGAAAAAGUAUUUGAAAUAAGUUUUAAAUUUUUCAAUUUGAUUAAGAUAUUAUA